AGAGCAUACGGCGGAUGCCUUGGCGAUAUCUGCCGACGAAGGACGCGACAAGCUGCGAUAAGUCACGGGGAGGUGCAAAUAACCGUUGAUCCGUGAAUUUCCGAAUGGAGCAAUCCGGCUGUGGUCAUGCACAGUCACCCAUGCCAUUGAGUAUGGGAGGGAACCGGGCGAACUGAAACAUCUAAGUAGCCCGAGGAGAAGAAAUCAAACGAGAUACCCCAAGUAGCGGCGAGCGAACGGGGCAGAAGCCCAAACCGGAGAAGGAAACUUUUCCGGGGUUGAGGACCGUCAGACGAUAAGGAAGCCCAGCCGAAUCCCCUGGGAAGGGGAGCCGGAGAAUGUGAAAGCCAUGUAGGCGAAGGGCGGAUAAGGACAGACGGCACCAGAGUACCGCGGGACACGAGAAACCCCGUGGGAAGCCGGGGGGACCACCCUCCAAGGCAAAACACAGAUAUCGACCGAUAGCGCAUAGUACCAUGACGGAAAGGUGAAAAGCACCCCGGGAGGGGAGUGAAAUAGAACCUGAAACCGUAUGUUUACAAGCAGUCGGAGACCGUAUAUAUACCAGGUCGACGGCGUGCCUAUUGAAGAAUGAACCGGCGAGUUAUGAGGUCCAGCAAGGUUAAGCAGGAAAUGCGGAGCAGAAGCGAAAGAGGGUCUUAAUAGGGCGAUAAGUUGGAUUGCAUAGACCCGAAACCACAGUGAUCUACCCAUGUCCAGGCUGAAACACAGGUAAAAAUGUGCGGAGGGCCGAACCUAUAUCCGUUGAAAAGGGUUAGGAUGAGGUGUGGGUAGGGGUGAAAUUCCAAUCGAACGUGGAGAUAGCUGGUUCUCCCCGAAAUAGCUUUAGGGCUAGCCUCGAGGUAGAGAUUGCAGGCGGUAGAGCACUGAUCAGGAGAGGGACCUACCCGGUUACCAAACCCAGUCAAACUGCAAAUGGCUGCAAUUAUACUCGGGAGUCAGACUACGACUUAUAAGGGCCGUGGUCAAAAGGGAAACAGCCCAGAUCAUCAGCUAAGGUCCCAAAUGCCGUGCUAAGUGGCGAAGGAUGUGGCGUUUCAUAAACAACCAGGAUGUUGGCUCAGAAGCAGCCACCAUUUAAAGAGUGCGUAAUAGCUCACUGGUCGAGAGACGCUGCGCCGAAAAUGUCCGGGGCUCAAGCACGGAACCGAAGCUAUGGCAUGACAGCAAUGUCAUGGGUAGGGGAGCGUUCUUAUAAGGAAGAAGCAUUACCGUAAGGAGAUGUGGACAUAUAAGAAGUGAGAAUGCCGGUAUGAGUAUCGAAAAGAAAGGUGAGAAUCCUUUCCACCGAAAGCCCGAGGGUUCCUGAGCAACGAUCGUCGACUCAGGGUAAGUCGGGACCUAAGCCGAGGCGGAGACGCAUAGGCGAUGGACAACAGGUUGAAAUUCCUGUACCGGAUGGAGUCAUUUGAGCGAAGGAGCGACGCAGGAGGGCACAUGAUCGCGCGGCUGGAAGAGCGCGUCCAAGUGCGUAUGCGUAGAGGGAGGCAAAUCCCCCUUUACAGAAGCAGAGACAUGAUGGGGAGUUAAAGGAGACUUUGACGAACUCAUGGAUCCCACACUGCCAAGAAAAACUUCUAGCGAGACGAAAUCCGCCCGUACCGUAAACCGACACAGGUAGGUGAGGAGAGAAUCCUAAGGUGCGCGGGAGAACCCUCGUUAAGGAACUCGGCAAAUUGCAUCCGUAACUUCGGGAGAAGGAUGACCCUGAGUAGGCGAAAGGGAGAAACCCCCGGAACAGAAAAGGGUGGCAGAAAAGAGGCCCAAGCAACUGUUUACCAAAAACACAGGUGCCUGCGAAAGCGAAAGCUGAAGUAUAGGUGCUGACGCCUGCCCGGUGCUGGAAGGUUAAGGAGAGAGGUCAGCGAAAGCGAAGCUUUGAACUGAAGCCCCAGUGAACGGCGGCCGUAACUAUAACGGUCCUAAGGUAGCGAAAUUCCUUGUCGGGUAAGUUCCGACCCGCAUGAAAGGCGUAAUGAUUUGGGCACUGUCUCAACGAGGGGCCCGGUGAAAUUGAAAUACCUGUGAAGAUGCAGGUUACCCGCGACUGGACAGAAAGACCCCAUGGAGCUUCACUGCAGCUUGAGAUUGAAUCCCGGUGACAUAUGCACAGGAUAGGUGGGAGGCUAAGAAGUAAUGCCUUUGGGUGUUACAGAGCCGAUGUUGGGAUACCACCCUUAUGUUGCUGAGAUUCUAACACGGAGACUAACAACCUCGUGGACCAUCUCAGGCAGGCGGUUUGACUGGGGCGGUCGCCUCCUAAAAUGUAACGGAGGCGCCCAAAGGUUCCCUGGCAUAUAAAUCGAGACUUAUAUCUAAAUUUGUCACAUCAGUAUUAAUUAAAUUUUAUAUCAUGAAUAGACAACUGACUCUUUUCUUUUUUUUCCUUGCCAUGGCAUUGGGCGCACAGGCGCAAAAGUCCGGAGAAUAUUACGUAAAGCACAUUGAGUUUCCUCAAAAUGCCACUAUCGAGCAAAAGGUGGACAUGGCUGCGCGUCUCGUGCCCACUCCCCAGCAAUACGCUUGGCAGCAGAUGGAACUGACAGCUUUUCUCCAUUUUGGAAUCAACACUUUUACCGGACGCGAAUGGGGAGACGGAAAAGAAGACCCAGCACUCUUCAAUCCCUCGGAACUGGAUGCCGAACAAUGGGUGCGCAGCCUCAAAGAAGCCGGCUUUAAGAUGGUGCUUCUGACAGCGAAGCAUCACGACGGCUUUUGU
Molecule: ribosomal RNA, 2740 nt
Filed under: human gut metagenome
Description: bacterial LSU rRNA
Rfam family: Bacterial large subunit ribosomal RNA
Source: RNAcentral